CCUACGGGAGGCAGCAGUGGGGAAUAUUGCACAAUGGGGGAAACCCUGAUGCAGCGACGCCGCGGGAGUGAAGACGUAAUUCGUUAUGUAAAGCUCUAUCAGCAGGGAAGAAAAUGACGGUACCUGAGUAAGAAGCCCAGGCUAACUACGUGCCAGCAGCCGCGGUAAUACGUAGGGGGCAAGCGUAAUCCGGAUUUACUGGGUGUAAAGGGAGCGUAGACGGUCGUGCAAGUCUGGAGUGAAAGGCGGGGGCUCAACCCCCGGACUGCUCUGGAAACUGUACGGCUUGAGUGCAGGCGAGGUAAGUGGAAUUCCUAGUGUAGCGGUGAAAUGCGUAGAUAUUAGGAGGAACCCCAGUGGCGAAGGCGGCUUACUGGACUGUAACUGACGUUGAGGCUCGAAAGCGUGGGGAGCAAACAGGAUUAGAUACCCCUGUAGUC
RNAcentral lists this ribosomal RNA (440 nucleotides) under uncultured bacterium. RNAcentral's name for it is "partial 16S ribosomal RNA". It matches the Rfam family "Bacterial small subunit ribosomal RNA", at positions 338 to 795 of the family's 1533-position model. The record is from RNAcentral.